Molecule: transfer-messenger RNA, 372 nt
Filed under: Actinacidiphila oryziradicis
Lineage: Bacteria; Bacillati; Actinomycetota; Actinomycetes; Kitasatosporales; Streptomycetaceae
Description: Streptomyces oryziradicis Standard tmRNA
Rfam family: transfer-messenger RNA
About the family: Bacterial tmRNA, also known as 10Sa RNA or SsrA, is named for its dual tRNA and mRNA-like properties.
Source: Rfam by way of RNAcentral
GGGGAUGAUCGGUUUCGACUGGGGAUGUCGAAGCAGGGGAAGCGAGCCGAGGAAGCGGCAAUGAUCUCGUUAACCAUAUGUCGCAAAAAAAUAAUCGCCAAGCCUAACAGCGAUCAUUUCGCCCUCGCUGCCUAAGUAGCGACCUGCGAAAUUGUCAGCCCGGGAGUGUUCCCGACCCGGAUCCUGGCAUAAUCUAGGGAACUAAACCAUUGAGCCCGGCCACGGGACUCAAUGGGAAAUCAAACAGUGGCUGGGCCUGUCGGCGGCUUGUCCGUGUGACUGCCGGGGCCGAGAAAAGCACAGCGGACUGCGCUCGGAGAAGCCCUGAUUCCGCACCACAGGACGCGGGUUCGAUUCCCGCCAUCUCCACUC